Molecule: ribosomal RNA, 565 nt
Filed under: uncultured bacterium
Lineage: Bacteria
Description: bacterial SSU rRNA
Rfam family: Bacterial small subunit ribosomal RNA
Source: RNAcentral
CCUACGGGAGGCAGCAGUGGGGAAUUUUCCGCAAUGGGCGAAAGCCUGACGGAGCAAUACCGCGUGAGGGAGGAAGGCUUUUGGGUUGUAAACCUCUUUUCUUAGGGAAGAAGCUCUGACGGUACCUAAGGAAUCAGCAUCGGCUAACUCCGUGCCAGCAGCCGCGGUAAUACGGAGGGUGCGAGCGUUAAUCGGAAUUACUGGGCGUAAAGCGCGCGUAGGUGGUUUGGUCAGUCGGAUGUGAAAGCCCCGGGCUUAACCUGGGAAUUGCAUUCGAUACUGCCAGGCUAGAGUCUGGGAGAGGGAUGCGGAAUUCCGGGUGUAGCGGUGAAAUGCGUAGAUAUCCGGAGGAACAUCAGUGGCGAAGGCGGCAUCCUGGCCUAAGACUGACGCUGAGGCGCGAAAGCGUGGGGAGCAAACAGGAUUAGAUACCCUGGUAGUCCACGCUGUAAACGAUGUCAACUAGCCGUUGGAGAGAUUUAACUCUUUAGUGGCGCAGCUAACGCCUUAAGUUGACCGCCUGGGGAGUACGGCCGCAAGGUUGAAACUCAAAUGAAUUGACGGA